Molecule: ribosomal RNA, 253 nt
Filed under: uncultured bacterium
Lineage: Bacteria
Description: partial 16S ribosomal RNA
Rfam family: Bacterial small subunit ribosomal RNA
Source: RNAcentral
UACGGAGGGGGCUAGCGUUGUUCGGCAUUACUGGGCGUAAAGCGCACGUAGGCGGCUUUGUAAGUUAGAGGUGAAAGCCCGGGGCUCAACUCCGGAAUUGCCUUUAAGACUGCAUCGCUCGAAUUGUGGAGAGGUAAGUGGAAUUCCGAGUGUAGAGGUGAAAUUCGUAGAUAUUCGGAAGAACACCAGUGGCGAAGGCGACUUACUGGACACAUAUUGACGCUGAGGUGCGAAAGCGUGGGGAGCAAACAGG